GACGAACGCUGGCGGCGUGCUUAACACAUGCAAGUCGAACGGAAAGGCCCUGCUUGCAGGGUACUCGAGUGGCGAACGGGUGAGUAACACGUGGGUGAUCUGCCCUGCACUUCGGGAUAAGCCUGGGAAACUGGGUCUAAUACCGGAUAGGAGCCAUUUUUAGUGUGAUGGUUGGAAAGUUUUUUCGGUGUAGGAUGAGCUCGCGGCCUAUCAGCUUGUUGGUGGGGUAAUGGCCUACCAAGGCGGCGACGGGUAGCCGGCCUGAGAGGGUGGACGGCCACAUUGGGACUGAGAUACGGCCCAGACUCCUACGGGAGGCAGCAGUGGGGAAUAUUGCACAAUGGGCGCAAGCCUGAUGCAGCGACGCCGCGUGGGGGAUGACGGCCUUCGGGUUGUAAACCGCUUUCAGCAGGGACGAAGCUUUUUGUGACGGUACCUGCAGAAGAAGCACCGGCUAACUACGUG
Molecule: ribosomal RNA, 465 nt
Filed under: uncultured bacterium
Lineage: Bacteria
Description: partial 16S ribosomal RNA
Rfam family: Bacterial small subunit ribosomal RNA
Source: RNAcentral